This 204-nucleotide unclassified non-coding RNA is filed under the name Ceratocystis albifundus. RNAcentral's name for it is "partial internal trancribed spacer 1". The record is from RNAcentral. Lineage: Eukaryota; Fungi; Ascomycota; Sordariomycetes; Microascales; Ceratocystidaceae.
CCAUGUGUGAACAUACCCUGUCUUUUGGUGAAGACGGAAAGCUGCCUUGGUGGGUGUCUGUAGUGGUGUUAACCUCUUUUUAUAAGGGGGCAGCCCACUACCGCUAGCCACCAGCAGCAUACAAGUCUUUUACCACUAUAAACCUUCUGUAUAUUUUUUAAAAUUUUUAAAAAUUGCUGAGUGGCAUAACUAUAAAAAAAGUUA